This 293-nucleotide ribosomal RNA is filed under the name uncultured bacterium. RNAcentral's name for it is "partial 16S ribosomal RNA". It matches the Rfam family "Archaeal small subunit ribosomal RNA", at positions 455 to 747 of the family's 1478-position model. The record is from RNAcentral.
GUGCCAGCCGCCGCGGUAAUACCGGCAGCCCGAGUGAUGGCCGAUCUUAUUGGGCCUAAAGCGUUCGUAGCUGGCCAGUCAAGUCUGUUGGGAAAUCCACGUGCCCAACACGUGGGCGUCCAACAGAGACUGACUGGCUUGGGACCGGAAGACCCGAAGAGUACGUCUGGGGUAGGAGUGAAAUCCCGUAAUCCGAGACGGACUACCGAUGGCGAAAGCACUUCGGGAGUACGGAUCCGACAGUGAGGAACGAAAGCUGGGGUCUCGAACCGGAUUAGAUACCCGAGUAGUCC